CCUACGGGAGGCUGCAGUGAGGAAUAUUGGUCAAUGGGCGCGAGCCUGAACCAGCCAAGCAGCGUGCAGGAUGACUGCCCUAUGGGUUGUAAACUUCUUUUAUAAAGGAAUAAAGUGAGGCACGUGUGUCUUUUUGUAUGUACUUUAUGAAUAAGGAUCGGCUAACUCCGUGCCAGCAGCCGCGGUAAUACGGAGGAUCCGAGCGUUAUCCGGAUUUAUUGGGUUUAAAGGGAGCGUAGAUGGGUUGUUAAGUUAGUUGUGCAAGUUCGCGGCUCAACCGUAAAAUUGCAAUUGAUACUGGAAGCCUUGAGAACAGUUGAGGUAGGCGGAAUGCAUGGUGUAGCGGUGAAAUGCUUAGAUAUCACGAAGAACUCCGAUUGCGAAGGCAGCUUACUAAACUGCCACUGACAUUGAUGCUCGAAAGUGUGGGUAUCAAACAGGAUUAGAUACCCGGGUAGUC
RNAcentral lists this ribosomal RNA (460 nucleotides) under uncultured bacterium. RNAcentral describes it as "partial 16S ribosomal RNA". It matches the Rfam family "Bacterial small subunit ribosomal RNA", at positions 338 to 795 of the family's 1533-position model. The record is from RNAcentral.